This 273-nucleotide ribosomal RNA is filed under the name uncultured bacterium. RNAcentral describes it as "partial 16S ribosomal RNA". It matches the Rfam family "Bacterial small subunit ribosomal RNA", at positions 523 to 796 of the family's 1533-position model. The record is from RNAcentral.
AUACGUAGGGGGCAAGCGUUGUCCGGAUUUACUGGGUGUAAGGGCGCGUAGGCGGGUUUGUUAGUCAGAGGUGAAAUCCUACAGCUCAACUGUAGAACUGCCUUUGAUACUGCAAAUCUUGAGUUCGGAAGAGAGAGGCGGAAUUCCAGGUGUAGUGGUGAAAUACGUAGAUAUCUGGAAGAACACCAGAGGCGAAGGCGGUCUCUUGGUCCGUAACUGACGCUGAGGCGCGAAAGCGUGGGGAGCAAACAGGAUUAGAAACCCCGGUAGUCC